CCAGCUGUCCCUGCGCCCUCCUCCGCGCCCCGCGGGCGCCCGUGCAGCUCUGCCCUCGCUCACCCUCCGGGCUGCCACCUGGGUUUCACAAGUAGCACCUUCCAAAUCUCUCUGUCUUCAAGUUUGUGCAUGUCUGUGUGGCAUCCCUCCUCCUCCUUCACUCCCAUAGUGGAUCUUGCAAAGGGCUUCAGAUCGGCCCCAUUCAUCUCCCUGGUGAUAGCAGUGAAUGUAGAUAAAUCUCUGCCUGCCUGCUUGCUGCUGGAGUAUGAUUUUUAUUUUGUCUUCUGUGUAUACCUAGGUCAAAAAGUGGGAUGUAUACUGACGUUGGACUCCAAGAUGCCGGCCUCGGCUUGGAACGGAGCGGUGUCAUGGCGGAGACGACGGCCUUUGUCUGGCAGGGUGUGAAAGCAUCCGUUGUGCUGGCUCCAUCGUGGCAGAACGACGCGGAAAGGGGGAAAAAGUGCCAGGAGCGGGGCUGUGGGGGCUGGCAGGGCCCAGCCCCACGUCCCAGCAGAGCCGGUCGGUAAUCCUGGCACGGGCGCUGUGGGGCUGCCUGCCGCUGCCUCCUGCCUCUGGAUAAUCUCCCCGGGCUCACGGCAGCGUCUGGCCCGCGCGGGCCCCCGUCACAUACACCCGCAAUCGCGGGAGCGGUGGCGUUGCCACUGAAUGGAUGGCACCGUGCCAGCUCCGCUGCCAUCCGCCCUUGCAGCUCCUUUCCUCCCUCCUCCUCCCGCUCUCCCCUCCUCCUCCUCCUCCCGUCGACUUGACGUUAAUUAACACACGGGUUAAUUGAUUUUAAAAGCUGAAGAAUUACAGUUAACUUUUCCCACAGGGCAGGGACGCCAGCCGCCGGGCAUGGUCCUGCGCUCCUGCGGGGGCAGGGAGGAGCCCAAGGGACCGACAGACGGAUGGAUGGAUGGAUGGAUGGAUGGACGGAUGGAUGGAUGGACAGUGUCUGCCUGUUGGCUGGGGGCGACCAGCAAUCCCACCUCGUCCUCCCCACAUGUCACUGCAACAUUUGCUAUAAACAAUCACAGAAAGCCCAGCCCUCACACCCACCCUCCCACCCUCCUUUUGCUGUCCCAGUCCAGGCAGGAGCGCUGUGCCGAGGGGUGACCAGCCUGCACUAUCCCCUGGGCCCUUCCCCACGGAGGGGUGACCCGCCUGCACAGGGUCUGGCACAGCAGGGGCCCCCACCCAAGCACCCGCCGCUGCAAGGGGCACCGGGAAUGCUCCCCAUCACGGGCUUGCCCUGUCUUCCAAGGCUCUUUUUCGUUUCCUGAAUUGGCUUAGCUCCAUCACUUGGGGUGAAGCAUCUAAACCAGGGGACAGUUCGUUCCUUGCAAUCACGAGAGAAACAAGCCAUGCAAGGGCUUUGUUUUUUGCUCUCCCUCGCCCCGGUCCCUGCCUGCAGCGGGGACGAGAGCAGCAGCGCUGGGAACUUGCUUCUUGUGCUUUCAUUUUAUUUCGUUUUGUUUUUUUAAAAGCAUGAAGCAAGUGAAGCGACGAGAGGAAUCCAUUAUGCAAAUCAGGUCACAUUUGCAUAAUGUCUCAUGACUGAAUAUGCAAAUGAGUUGUAUAAUUUAUGAGUGCCAGUGUCUGUCUAAAAGUGUUUCCCAGAAUUUAUAAAAAGUGAGGCACGGGGAGGGCAGCUGGGCUGGCUGCCCUGCCAGGAGGGCUCUGCGCUUUCUUUUCAAAGUCUUCUGGAGAUCAGCAGCUCAAACGCUCAUUAAUGAGAAGCAAACCCCCCUUCCCACCCUGUCCCCUCGGUUUAUUUUCUGUUUCUCCCUCUGCCAAGCCCCCACCUGCUCCCUCCGAAGUUCUCCAGGAGGGUUUGGCUGGUGCUGGAGCCGGGGCACUCCCACACUGGCAGGCUCCACCAGGGUCUCCCUCUGGACAUCUCUUACCAGCAGGAGAAACCCUGGAGAGCGAGCUCCAUGGCUCGGUGUGCAUCAGGGAGCCGCAGGAGCCGCCUCGCACCGGCAGGCAUGGCAGGAUGGCUGCUGGUUCCCAUGCUCCGAGGCAGGGACAUGCCAAGGAGAUCAAGGUCAGCACAGGGUGGCAGUGCCAGCAGAGAGGGACCUCGUGGCUGCCGUCUGGAGUCGCAGCGCACAGCUUCACCACUGGAAAGGUCUCUGGAACAUCCGGACAGCUGGAUGCUCAAGAGCAGAGGAUCUAUCAACUGCAGACCAAGCAGAGGGAGAGGCAGGCAGAACUGGAGCAGAAAUGCAGCCGGAUCCAGCAGCUCAGCCAGGUCCCGGAGGCCAGCAACCUGCUGCAGGAGGAAGCUCAGGAGCAGCUCCUUAAAAAGAGCAGACGGAUCCUGAGACAAGGCAGGACAUGGCAGGACCGGUCCUUGCAAAGGAGCCCGGAGCAGCAAAGGAGAGAAGACUGUCCAUGAUCAGCCCGAGGCGUGUCUGGCCUGGGCCACUGUCCUGUCUCUGGCAGGAGCCAAGAACUGCUCUCUGGGUCAGUGUGAGAUACCACAGGACAGCACGGAGCACUCCACCAGCCUCCAGAGAUCUGCAGCUCAGAGGCUUCAGAAGCAACACUGGGGCCUUGCAUUUAAUAAUUGUAAGUGGAUUUUUUUCUCCCAUUAAAAUGUUUAAUUUCUUUUUGAAUGCAUAUAAACUGUGGGAGCCCAGCAUACCCUGUGUGCAGCAGUCUGACGCAACAUACAUUUAAAAAAAGAACUGCUUUUUGUUUUGUAGUCAUUACCUGCUAAUGUAUGGGGUGCUGCCAGCUCUUAUAUUUAAGAGACAAUGAGAAAUCAUCCUGCAGACAACCUCCAUAUGCCAAACUUGUUUUUAUAAUCCUCUCCAGUUAUUUCUUUUCCAGGCUAAAGAGGCUAUCUACUUUUUCUUCAUAUGGAAAAUAUUCUUUGUAUUUGAUCACCCUUGUUGCUUGUCUCUGAAAGCCUUCCAACUCUAUUUUCCUGGAGAGAGGCAGACCAGAGCUGCAUAUGGUAAUCACAAUGCAGUUUCCACUAUGGCUCUGUUCAGUGGCAGAACUCCCCAUGAUCUGCUCCCCAUUAUUUUCCUAAUAAUGCUUAACAGUCAGUUUGCCUUUUGGGCUGCUCCUGGGCACUGAGCAAAUGUUUCCAUAGAACCAUCUCUCCAUCUACAUCUGGUUUUAUCUAGGACAGCCCUGAGUCCUCAUUCCUGAGGAGGGAACAGAGCUACAGCAGCUGGGACUGCAAGUGACAUCUUGUAAGAAAGAAAGUGCAAAUGCCCCAAAACUUCAGCAGGGUUAAGACCACCUGGUUGUGUCUCCUACCUUCAAAAUCAGCUACUCAACAUCUGAAAAACAAGAAAGGAAGAGUUCAGAGCCACCUCGCAGCCUGCAGCCCUGUCCCCUUCCAGCCACAUCUGCCCCACGUGCAGAUGCCUGAGAAGCUGCCUCUGCCUCUGGGGAGAGCUCAGGAACCUGCUCCUCGCGGGGCAAAGCCCGGGGCCAGGCCGGGCAGCACUGCUGGGAGCAGCCCACGUUGGCCCCGGGACACAGAACAGCCCUGCCCGCUGAACAGGGUCACCUUGUCAGGACUGCUGCUGGGCUGGCACAGCCGGUGCCCCGGGCCAGGCCCCUUCCCCACGGAGGAGAGGCGGCCCCGGGGCCUCCCGGGGCACCCCGAGCUGCCCAAGAGCACAAGCCACAGCGCGCUCCCUCAGCCCCUCGUCGCGUUUUCCCCCUGUAGCUCCAGAGCGAGCAGGAGGGGAUCACGCAGUCUGACCUCCUGUACCUGCAGUCAAGAACAUUUCACCGUGUUACUGCUGAAUUCAACAACGUGUUUGACAAAGGCAGCUGCAGAAGGGCAUUCAGCUGGAUGUGAAGACAUCAAGAGAUGGCAAAUGCAGCAUUUCCUCCCUUGGCGGGCAAUCCCUUCGCACCACUGACUUGUGUUCUGAUUGCAGCUGUGCCAGCGGGGCUAAGGAAGCUUUCUGUGCAGCAGCAGUGUGGUCUCAGCUUUGUUUCUCCUAGUUUUCAUGCUUUAUCUUUUAUGUAUCUUAGCAUACUCAUUUAUUUUUGGCCAAAGACUUAAGCUUAACCAUAAAGAAAGGAAGAGCAUGAGGUUCCCCUCUUUCUGCCUGUGUUUCUGCAUUCCCAUGCCCACCUGUCCUGUGGAGGUCCUCACCACACAAGCCUUAUUCCACUUGCCCAGCUCUGUGGGGUUUCCAUCUCUCCUCCACCUCCCCACUUUCCCCUGCCCUUUCCCACCAGCUGCUGCCAUUGCUGCUGGUUUGGAAGGAGGAAGGGACAGCCUCCAGAGGCCCCUGCUCCAGGCAUCCACCACACUGGGUCUGUCCCCCCAGGCAGCUGGAAAGGCAGAGGAGGCAACAGGAGCCCCAGCAAAGCCCCAGCAUCUGCAGCACCAGCCCAAGUCUACAUACCUGGUGAUGGAGCAACAGGAACGUCCAGGGUUGGCUUUGGUGUGACGCUGGGUGGGGGUCCCACCUGCCCCAGCACCUGCCUCACCAUCCUGCUUCCCUGGGCUUUGCGGGGCUUAGGUGGCACCGAGCACUUCUGCCUGCUCCAGGACUUGGCCUGGACUCCCCACUUGUGCUGGAAACACAGUAGGGCAGGCCCCUCCUUGGUUUUGCCUCUGUAGCUGUUUCCUCCUACUCUGUUUUUACACAUCUAGCUCUUUCUUUCUCCCUUCUCUGGAGGGGACCCUCUCCCAAGGGCUGCAAUGUUUCUUUAAUAAGUAUUUUUCAAGUAGCUGGCUGAGACCCUGGAAGGAUAAUGAGAUCGUUUUCAUUGCAGACUGCAAAGCCAUGCAAGACUUUCCUGUUUGUUAUUUCUCCCCUGUAGACUCUGACCAUGCUACUGAUAAUUUAUGAUUGUUGAUAUUCCCCACCAGCCAAACACACCGAGUGUGCCCUAGACAGCAGCCAGUGAUUAGACCAGAGGCACCCGUUUCCUGCGAACACGGAGAAUUGGAAAUUAUCACUAGAACCGCAGAGAAAUAACCUUUAAAGCUCAUUAAAAUUCCAGGAACGCA
Apus apus (common swift) is the source of this 4999-nucleotide long non-coding RNA. RefSeq lists it as uncharacterized. The transcript has 4 exons. The record is from RefSeq and is a predicted model, not a curated record. Lineage: Eukaryota; Metazoa; Chordata; Aves; Apodiformes; Apodidae.